This 158-nucleotide non-coding RNA is filed under the name bovine gut metagenome. RNAcentral describes it as "Lysine riboswitch". It matches the Rfam family "Lysine riboswitch aptamer". Rfam says of the family: Riboswitches are metabolite binding domains within certain messenger RNAs that serve as precision sensors for their corresponding targets. Allosteric rearrangement of mRNA structure is mediated by ligand binding, and this results in modulation of gene expression. The record is from RNAcentral.
AGGAUAGAGGUGCGGUUAUCAGGAGUAGCGCGGAUGCAAGGCGUCGCAAAGCCGUUGUCUGCGCGAAAGGGGUCGCCGCCGAAGGGGAAGGGUUGCGCCCGUCUCCUGGUCACGCGGACAACAUCCGUUUGACUGUCGCGUUUGCGGAGAGCUAUGUA